Molecule: ribosomal RNA, 478 nt
Filed under: uncultured bacterium
Lineage: Bacteria
Description: partial 16S ribosomal RNA
Rfam family: Bacterial small subunit ribosomal RNA
Source: RNAcentral
GAUGAACGCUGGCGGCGUGCUUAACACAUGCAAGUCGAACGAGAAAUGGAGACGGAAACCUUCGGGCGGAAGGCUUCAUUUCGAGUGGCGGACGGGUGAGUAACGCGUGGGUAACCUGCCUCAUACAGGGGGAUAACAGUUGGAAACGACUGUUAAUACCGCAUAAGACCACAGCACCGCAUGGUGCGGGGGUGAAAACUCCGGUGGUAUGAGAUGGACCCGCGUUCGAUUAGCCAGUUGGCGGGGUAACGGCCCACCAAAGCGACGAUCGAUAGCCGAUCUGAGAGGAUGACCGGCCACAUUGGGACUGAGACACGGCCCAAACUCCUACGGGAGGCAGCAGUGGGGAAUAUUGCACAAUGGGGGAAACCCUGAUGCAGCGACGCCGCGUGAGUGAAGAAGUACUUCGGUAUGUAAAGCUCUAUCAGCAGGGAAGAAAAUGACGGUACCUGAGUAAGAAGCCCCGGCUAACUACGUG